RNAcentral lists this ribosomal RNA (465 nucleotides) under uncultured bacterium. RNAcentral describes it as "partial 16S ribosomal RNA". It matches the Rfam family "Bacterial small subunit ribosomal RNA", at positions 28 to 507 of the family's 1533-position model. The record is from RNAcentral.
GAUGAACGCUGGCGGCGUGCUUAACACAUGCAAGUCGAACGGAAAGGCUCCUGCUUGCAGGGGUACUCGAGUGGCGAACGGGUGAGUAACACGUGGGUGAUCUGCCCUGCACUUCGGGAUAAGCCUGGGAAACUGGGUCUAAUACCGGAUAGGACGAUGGUUUGGAUGCCAUUGUGGAAAGUUUUUCGGUGUGGGAUGAGCUCGCGGCCUAUCAGCUUGUUGGUGGGGUAAUGGCCUACCAAGGCGUCGACGGGUAGCCGGCCUGAGAGGGUGUACGGCCACAUUGGGACUGAGAUGCGGCCCAGACUCCUACGGGAGGCAGCAGUGGGGAAUAUUGCACAAUGGGCGCAAGCCUGAUGCAGCGACGCCGCGUGGGGGAUGACGGCCUUCGGGUUGUAAACUCCUUUCGCUAGGGACGAAGCGCAAGUGACGGUACCUGGAGAAGAAGCACCGGCUAACUACGUG